This 479-nucleotide ribosomal RNA is filed under the name uncultured Bacillota bacterium. RNAcentral's name for it is "bacterial SSU rRNA". It matches the Rfam family "Bacterial small subunit ribosomal RNA", at positions 423 to 896 of the family's 1533-position model. The record is from RNAcentral. Lineage: Bacteria; Bacillati; Bacillota.
UCGUAAAGCUCUGUUGUAGAGAAGAACAAGUACGAGAGUAACUACUCGUACCUUGACGGUACCUAACCAGAAAGCCACGGCUAACUACGUGCCAGCAGCCGCGGUAAUACGUAGGUGGCAAGCGUUAUCCGGAAUUAUUGGGCGUAAAGCGCACGCAGGCGGUCUCUUAAGUCUGAUGUGAAAGCCCACGGCUCAACCGUGGAGGGUCAUUGGAAACUGGGAGACUUGAGUGCAGGAGAGAAAAGUGGAAUUCCACGUGUAGCGGUGAAAUGCGUAGAGAUGUGGAGGAACACCAGUGGCGAAGGCGGCUUUUUGGCCUGUAACUGACGCUGAGGCGCGAAAGCGUGGGGAGCAAACAGGAUUAGAUACCCUGGUAGUCCACGCCGUAAACGAUGAGUGCUAGGUGUUGGGGGGUUCCACCCUCAGUGCUGAAGUUAACACAUUAAGCACUCCGCCUGGGGAGUACGACCGCAAGGUUG